GGAGAAAUACCCAAGAGGCCGAAGGGGCUCCCCUGCUAAGGGAGUAGUACGCGAGAAGCGUAGCGAGGGUUCAAAUCCCUCUUUCUCCGCCA
Molecule: transfer RNA, 92 nt
Filed under: Bacteroides sp.
Lineage: Bacteria; Pseudomonadati; Bacteroidota; Bacteroidia; Bacteroidales; Bacteroidaceae
Also listed under: 3 other names
Description: tRNA-Ser
Rfam family: tRNA
About the family: Transfer RNA (tRNA) molecules are approximately 80 nucleotides in length. Their secondary structure includes four short double-helical elements and three loops (D, anti-codon, and T loops).
Source: RNAcentral